AACGAACGCUGGCGGCAGGCCUAACACAUGCAAGUCGAGCGCCCCGCAAGGGGAGCGGCGGACGGGUGAGUAACGCGUGGGAACGUACCCUUUGCUACGGAAUAGCCUCGGGAAACUGGGAGUAAUACCGUAUGUGCCCUUCGGGGGAAAGAUUUAUCGGCAAAGGAUCGGCCCGCGUUGGAUUAGGUAGUUGGUGGGGUAAUGGCCUACCAAGCCGACGAUCCAUAGCUGGUUUGAGAGGAUGAUCAGCCACACUGGGACUGAGACACGGCCCAGACUCCUACGGGAGGCAGCAGUGGGGAAUCUUAGACAAUGGGCGCAAGCCUGAUCUAGCCAUGCCGCGUGAGCGAUGAAGGCCUUAGGGUUGUAAAGCUCUUUCAGUGGGGAAGAUAAUGACUGUACCCACAGAAGAAGCCCCGGCUAACUCCGUGCCAGCAGCCGCGGUAAGUGCGACGACA
This 458-nucleotide ribosomal RNA is filed under the name uncultured bacterium. RNAcentral describes it as "bacterial SSU rRNA". It matches the Rfam family "Bacterial small subunit ribosomal RNA", at positions 29 to 534 of the family's 1533-position model. The record is from RNAcentral.